GAUGAACGCUGGCGGCGUGCCUAAUACAUGCAAGUCGAGCGAACAGACGAGGAGCUUGCUCCUCUGACGUUAGCGGCGGACGGGUGAGUAACACGUGGAUAACCUACCUAUAAGACUGGGAUAACUUCGGGAAACCGGGGCUAAUACCGGAUAAUAUAUUGAACCGCAUGGUUCAAUAGUAAAAGACGGUUUUGCUGUCACUUAUAGAUGGAUCCGCGCCGCAUUAGCUAGUUGGUAAGGUAACGGCUUACCAAGGCAACGAUGCGUAGCCGACCUGAGAGGGUGAUCGGCCACACUGGAACUGAGACACGGUCCAGACUCCUACGGGAGGCAGCAGUAGGGAAUCUUCCGCCAUGGGCGAAAGCCUGACGGAGCAACGCCGCGUGAGUGAUGAAGGUCUUCGGAUCGUAAAACUCUGUUAUUAGGGAAGAACAAAUGUGUAAGUAACUAUGCACGUCUUGACGGUACCUAAUCAGAAAGCCACGGCUCACUACGUG
This 497-nucleotide ribosomal RNA is filed under the name uncultured bacterium. RNAcentral's name for it is "partial 16S ribosomal RNA". It matches the Rfam family "Bacterial small subunit ribosomal RNA", at positions 28 to 507 of the family's 1533-position model. The record is from RNAcentral.